Panicum hallii is the source of this 1098-nucleotide long non-coding RNA. RefSeq lists it as uncharacterized. The transcript has 3 exons. The record is from RefSeq and is a predicted model, not a curated record. NCBI's taxonomy places the organism in Eukaryota, Viridiplantae, Streptophyta, Magnoliopsida, Poales, Poaceae.
UGGCGGGCGGCGGCGGCGCGGAUACCGUGCGAUGGUGUCGCUCAAGGCCUCGAGGUCGAGGCCGUGCCGGCGGCCGAGGCAGCGUGGGAGCAGUGGGACGCUGCUGCCUCGAUGGCUGGAUCCCUCGACAUGGUCCUGGACUCGCCACAGCUUCUCUCGGAGCAAGGAGCCGAUAGGUCGACCUCCACUCCUGAUUCGUCCGCACUGAACAAGGAUACCCUAGAUGGUCGAGAACAAUCUUUACAAGUACCUGCUGCCUCUUUAUAAGAUAGCAAUGAUAGAAUCAACAGGUUAAUUGCCAUGCAAAAAAGGUGAUCAGAAGCACAUAAGGCAUCACUGCCAUCUCAAGUCCAGAAGCGAAAGAGGUCAACUUCAGCAGUUAAUGCUUCAAAUACUGUACAUAUAAGUGAAACAGAUCAACUUCAGCAGUUCACUAGCUCUCCCACUCCGACCUCUCCAGUUCAUAAGAGAAGCAAAAGAAUUGGGGCAAAGAAAUCACUUGUUUGGAAGCAUUUUGAUACAGGAUUGAGGGGGGCAAGAUCCUAUUUCAACAUGCAAAUAUUGCAGGCAAGUAUAUGCUUGCGAUAGAUCAACUCAUGGAACCAGUGCCAUCAGCAUCCUAUGGCACCAUCUAAGGUUCUUGUGCCCGCAAGAGCCACUCAAGGGUCAGGACUUGCAAAGGAAGAACCAAGGAACAACAAAACAUUCUUUCAGCAUCGAAGAUUGUCGCAAAGCACUUGCAGAGAUGGUAAUAAUUGAUGAGAUGCCUUUCAGAUCUGUUGUGGGUGAAGGAUUCAAAAGAUAUUCCAAAGUACUGCAACCAAGAUUUGAAAUCCCUUCUAGAAUCACAGUAGAAAGAGAUUGUAUGCAGCACCACAUUGAUUUCGUUGAGCUGGACACAAAGCCUUUUGAUGCAAGUGUGAGAGUAGUACUAGUUAUGCUAGUCCAAAGGCAACAACAAUUUUGUUUAUGUUUUGGUCAAGUUAAAUCUUUGUUGGGCCCUUGCUACCAGAAAUCAUGUAUUCAAGGGCAGACAUCUGAUGUAGCAACAUGAACCGUUCCCUAGCCAUGAAGUUCUCUUUCCACACAAGGACAAAA